This 253-nucleotide ribosomal RNA is filed under the name uncultured bacterium. RNAcentral's name for it is "partial 16S ribosomal RNA". It matches the Rfam family "Bacterial small subunit ribosomal RNA", at positions 524 to 776 of the family's 1533-position model. The record is from RNAcentral.
UACGAAGGGGGCUAGCGUUGUUCGGAUUUACUGGGCGUAAAGCGCACGUAGGCGGAUCGUUAAGUCGGGGGUGAAAUCCUGGAGCUCAACUCCAGAACUGCCUUCGAUACUGGCGAUCUUGAGUCCGGAAGAGGUGAGUGGAACUCCUAGUGUAGAGGUGGAAUUCGUAGAUAUUAGGAAGAACACCAGUGGCGAAGGCGGCUCACUGGUCCGGUACUGACGCUGAGGCGCGACAGCGUGGGGAGCAAACAGG